This 471-nucleotide ribosomal RNA is filed under the name uncultured organism. Its description in RNAcentral is "partial 16S ribosomal RNA". It matches the Rfam family "Bacterial small subunit ribosomal RNA", at positions 333 to 798 of the family's 1533-position model. The record is from RNAcentral.
ACACUCCUACGGGAGGCAGCAGUGGGGAAUUUUGGACAAUGGGCGAAAGCCUGAUCCAGCCAUGCCGCGUGCAGGAUGAAGGCCUUCGGGUUGUAAACUGCUUUUGUACGGAACGAAACGGCCUUUUCUAAUAAAGAGGGCUAAUGACGGUACCGUAAGAAUAAGCACCGGCUAACUACGUGCCAGCAGCCGCGGUAAUACGUAGGGUGCAAGCGUUAAUCGGAAUUACUGGGCGUAAAGCGUGCGCAGGCGGUUAUGUAAGACAGUUGUGAAAUCCCCGGGCUCAACCUGGGAACUGCAUCUGUGACUACAUAGCUAGAGUACGGUAGAGGGGGAUGGAAUUCCGCGUGUAGCAGUGAAAUGCGUAGAUAUGCGGAGGAACACCGAUGGCGAAGGCAAUCCCCUGGACCUGUACUGACGCUCAUGCACGAAAGCGUCAGGAGCAAACAGGAUUAGAAACCCGUGUAGUGC